This 1522-nucleotide ribosomal RNA is filed under the name Escherichia coli. RNAcentral describes it as "partial 23S ribosomal RNA". It matches the Rfam family "Bacterial large subunit ribosomal RNA", at positions 1291 to 2798 of the family's 2925-position model. RNAcentral also lists the same sequence under 1 other name. Lineage: Bacteria; Pseudomonadati; Pseudomonadota; Gammaproteobacteria; Enterobacterales; Enterobacteriaceae. The record is from RNAcentral.
CGAAUGCUGACAUAAGUAACGAUAAAGCGGGUGAAAAGCCCGCUCGCCGGAAGACCAAGGGUUCCUGUCCAACGUUAAUCGGGGCAGGGUGAGUCGACCCCUAAGGCGAGGCCGAAAGGCGUAGUCGAUGGGAAACAGGUUAAUAUUCCUGUACUUGGUGUUACUGCGAAGGGGGGACGGAGAAGGCUAUGUUGGCCGGGCGACGGUUGUCCCGGUUUAAGCGUGUAGGCUGGUUUUCCAGGCAAAUCCGGAAAAUCAAGGCUGAGGCGUGAUGACGAGGCACUACGGUGCUGAAGCAACAAAUGCCCUGCUUCCAGGAAAAGCCUCUAAGCAUCAGGUAACAUCAAAUCGUACCCCAAACCGACACAGGUGGUCAGGUAGAGAAUACCAAGGCGCUUGAGAGAACUCGGGUGAAGGAACUAGGCAAAAUGGUGCCGUAACUUCGGGAGAAGGCACGCUGAUAUGUAGGUGAAGCGACUUGCUCGUGGAGCUGAAAUCAGUCGAAGAUACCAGCUGGCUGCAACUGUUUAUUAAAAACACAGCACUGUGCAAACACGAAAGUGGACGUAUACGGUGUGACGCCUGCCCGGUGCCGGAAGGUUAAUUGAUGGGGUUAGCGCAAGCGAAGCUCUUGAUCGAAGCCCCGGUAAACGGCGGCCGUAACUAUAACGGUCCUAAGGUAGCGAAAUUCCUUGUCGGGUAAGUUCCGACCUGCACGAAUGGCGUAAUGAUGGCCAGGCUGUCUCCACCCGAGACUCAGUGAAAUUGAACUCGCUGUGAAGAUGCAGUGUACCCGCGGCAAGACGGAAAGACCCCGUGAACCUUUACUAUAGCUUGACACUGAACAUUGAGCCUUGAUGUGUAGGAUAGGUGGGAGGCUUUGAAGUGUGGACGCCAGUCUGCAUGGAGCCGACCUUGAAAUACCACCCUUUAAUGUUUGAUGUUCUAACGUUGACCCGUAAUCCGGGUUGCGGACAGUGUCUGGUGGGUAGUUUGACUGGGGCGGUCUCCUCCUAAAGAGUAACGGAGGAGCACGAAGGUUGGCUAAUCCUGGUCGGACAUCAGGAGGUUAGUGCAAUGGCAUAAGCCAGCUUGACUGCGAGCGUGACGGCGCGAGCAGGUGCGAAAGCAGGUCAUAGUGAUCCGGUGGUUCUGAAUGGAAGGGCCAUCGCUCAACGGAUAAAAGGUACUCCGGGGAUAACAGGCUGAUACCGCCCAAGAGUUCAUAUCGACGGCGGUGUUUGGCACCUCGAUGUCGGCUCAUCACAUCCUGGGGCUGAAGUAGGUCCCAAGGGUAUGGCUGUUCGCCAUUUAAAGUGGUACGCGAGCUGGGUUUAGAACGUCGUGAGACAGUUCGGUCCCUAUCUGCCGUGGGCGCUGGAGAACUGAGGGGGGCUGCUCCUAGUACGAGAGGACCGGAGUGGACGCAUCACUGGUGUUCGGGUUGUCAUGCCAAUGGCACUGCCCGGUAGCUAAAUGCGGAAGAGAUAAGUGCUGAAAGCAUCUAAGCACGAAACUUGCC